AACCAAAUGGCAGAUGGAUUCACGGGUUUCAAUAUCCAGAUCGGGUGACCUAGCUGUUGCUCACUGGACUGAUUUUGUAUGAAAGCGCCUUCGUAUGUUUGGAUUUAAUAACAGCCUAACAUGUAUAAUGAAAGGUGCUUUGGAAACACGUGAUAACAUUGCUAGAUCCUGUUAUUUCAUCCUACGCCAACGCACCCUGUGAACACGAAUGGAAAAACGAGUCACCGCAAAUAGACCGAAGUGCAAAAUACAGUAAAUUUAUAAAGCUUAACAUUACCGAAAUGGUAUAUGCGGCAGCCGUGCCAUUCUUAUCCGUCCUUUACAAGGAAAAACAAGGGGCAAAACGAUCGCUAACAAGCUUGGUCUGAAUCCUCAAUCUACAGGUUUACAGGUUUCACGAAAAGGGACAUAUUUCGUAUCAUGAAAGCUUGUCCGGCCAGGCCCGUUUGCAAUUUUUGCCCUUGAUGUAUUAAAACAGGUACUGGAUGAAGUAGAAAGACAAUAAAAGACUUGGGAACAUUCGAGAAAGUAAUAAUGCAGCAGGAGAAGACUGUGAUGAUCUUUCGUGCUGCCUACAUUGUGCAGUGUAAGGACAUUAGCCUGUACCACCUACAGGGGAAGUCAAGGAGAAAACGCAUUAAUAGAGAAAAAGUGGAGCAUGUCCAUGUCUCUGUGACUAAUAGGCCAGUUGUUUUUAUUAAAUGAACAGGGGAUUAUUCUCGAGCAAGAAAGGCCAUGGCACAACUCGCGUAAAACUGUCAAAAACAUUAGUUAGUGUUAUGCAUAAGCUAACCUAUUGUGGCACUUGCAAUGAAAUCAUGAGCCAGCAACGGACAAACGAAUUCAGAAAUUCUUGAAACUCACGAUUAUAUUGGGAACGCAAAAAGGUUACGCGAGCAACAAAGAACUAUUACGAAAUAUUCAGUACAAAUUGCCACUUUUUAUGUCUGAGUGUGUAGAUUUACGACUGGCUUUCGCCUCUUUCGAAAUGCAACUCUUAGGUGUCAGGUCGUGUCCUCAGAUGCCUGGCACCAGUUGAAGUGUUUAGUCUACCUGUGUUGUUUCCAUUCACGGUACUGUUGUUAAAAUGAAAUUGGGUUCCUCUUCCCACAUUUAUUGUUGGUAUAUGAUCUAUUAAUAAUUUCCCUAGCUGUUCCUGGAAUGAUCAUUUCCUAACAUAUAUUACAGUGGUCUUCAUCUCUUCAGUUAUUAGAAUGAAAUGGCCUAUUUCUUCCUGGCUCUUACGAGAAUGAAGUAGUAGUCCUUUUCUUCCAAGUUGCUACUGUAAUGAAGAGGAUUUUUUUCCAGUUGUUAUGCUUCUGGAAUAGUACGAGUAUUUCUAUUCUCAGAAAGAGUUGGCUAUACUUUCACUAAAAGUCCCCGCUGUUAUUAAACGAACUGGUUCUUCACUUCCCAGUCGCUGUUAUCAGAAAGAACUGGUCUGGUGUCUUUCCGGUGGUGAAGCUGUUGGCGGAAUAGCCAGUUCCGCGCCACAAGACGCAGCCCCGUAUAUAGGGAUGGCCUUGAAUGUGCCGUACAACCGUGAAAUCUCGGUUCCUGCGUGAAGGCGUGAAGGAGGCACAUACAUAAAAGGAGACGACUAAUAAGGAUGGAAAACCAAAGGGGGUAGGGAAAUGUAAUUAUCAUACAGUACAAGGAAUAAUGAUAGUAAUAAUCAAUAUCAUGCAUUUUUCAGGAGACUGUACUCAAGUAAAACGCUGUUUAGUAACUUAGUUCAAAAUUAGUUUGAAAAUUCAAGGAAAUGAAGACUCGAUGCCACAGACAGACAGACAGACAGACAGACAGACAGACAGACAGACAGACAGACAGACAGACAGACAGACAGACAGACAGACAGACAGAGAGCAGCAGCAGUCAACAGGGAAAUCGUGCACUUAAUUAUUGCAUUUCGGAAAACCGUACCUUGAUAAUAAUAUCUUAGCUUUACUUGAAAUAUGUAGAAAUACACGACAAAAGGAUGCUCUACUAAAACAUAUGAACCAUAUUAAGUUUGCAUACGAACUAAACAGCAAAAAAAAAAGAGACAUACGACGCGCGAAAUCGAGUUAUCAGGAAAGGACAAAAACCAGACCACAAGAGUGUGUGGGAAGACUUGUUCACGUGCUUCUGUGUGCAUGUGUGGGUGCAACGCUGUAUUUAAGUAAACGAGUUAUCCGCCUGAUGUGUAGAGUAAUUUAGGUCAGGCUUAACGGUGUCGCCCCAUCCCUGUACCUGUGAUACUGCCUGAAUAUUCCCAUCACUCCAAAGGAACUACUGUUGGUACAUGAGCCAUGAUGCUUUCUCCAGCAUUCGAAUGGGGCUGUAAAGGAUCCAGUAUGGUAAGGGCCAAGCAGUCUACUAGUCGAAGAGAGAGGCAAAUCGCUACGAUCACAAACGAAUGACGAUAACUAGAACGAUAGCAAAGUUGGAAUGUUAUCAAAGAUGAUGCUAAUGUAAAAGAUGCCUUUCUGGGGCCAACACAUCAUUUCGAUUCAGCAAAAUAAGGAAUGAUAACUUUUUUAGAAGCCAUCACUAAUGGUUUUUUUUUAAAUCUUUAAGUGUUGUAUGUAUAACUGAUCCCAAACCUUAUUUCCAAGUUUCUCUACAUAUUCUGCUGGCCAUUUACUUUCUCCUUUCUUGAUUACAACUAGUAUCUGCUGAGUAAUAGAAGGUAUUCUAGAGCAGUAAAGCUCCCUACAUAAAGUUAACAUAGCAUUCAUUCAGAGAAACACUAACUUACAUGGAAGGAUUACCUAAACUUUGUCAGACACUCUAACAAGUAAACAAUCACCCUGAUGACAGGUGAUCAGAAUUCCAUAUCUAUAACCAGGUAUUCUUACUGCCAGCACAUUUCAAGCUUUAAACAUAAAAUACUUUUCAUUUCAGGCAACGUGUAUGAGGUGUAUAUUAUACAACUGCUUUUUAUUGUCAAAAUGUUUUCGUGUAUGUACCUCCCUAGAAUGUUAAAUAUUGUAUGUAUGAAUGUCUCCCUAAAUUUACUUUGUUGUUUAUAAUAAAUGUUAAGGGUUAA
This is a long non-coding RNA of Macrobrachium nipponense, 3031 nucleotides long. RefSeq lists it as uncharacterized. The record is from RefSeq and is a predicted model, not a curated record. Lineage: Eukaryota; Metazoa; Arthropoda; Malacostraca; Decapoda; Palaemonidae. The transcript has 2 exons.